UACAUGUGGGGCAAGCGUUGUUCGGAAUUACUGGGCGUAAAGCGCGCGUAGGCGGCUUUGCAAGUCGGGUGUGAAAUCCCCAGGCUUAACCUGGGAACUGCAUUCGAGACUGCAUUGCUAGAGUAUGGGAGAGGGAAGUGGAAUUUCCGGUGUAGCGGUGAAAUGCGUAGAUAUCGGAAGGAACAUCAGUGGCGAAAGCGACUUCCUGGACCAAUACUGACGCUCAUGUGCGAAAGCGUGGGGAGCAAACAGG
RNAcentral lists this ribosomal RNA (253 nucleotides) under uncultured bacterium. RNAcentral describes it as "partial 16S ribosomal RNA". It matches the Rfam family "Bacterial small subunit ribosomal RNA", at positions 524 to 776 of the family's 1533-position model. The record is from RNAcentral.